Homo sapiens (human) is the source of this 2508-nucleotide long non-coding RNA. The record is from Ensembl. Lineage: Eukaryota; Metazoa; Chordata; Mammalia; Primates; Hominidae.
AGGGCUGUGUCUCUUUCCUUUGUAGAAUUCCAUGCUCUGCCUGAGGUCUGUUAAGGACUAAUAUGGAAAUCUCAGCUCAUAGAGACCCCUCCGGAAGUUCUUCACAUUACUAGAAGUGAGUGUGAAAGAACUGGCUAUUCAAGAGAGUGUUGGAGAUUCUGGCAAGCAGAGAUUCUUCGGAGCCCAGGUGGAAAGUGAAGCGCUGAGUUGGGGAGAAAUGCUCAUGCCUUCUGCAGACUGUAAGUUUUGGGAGCUUCUGGAGGCAACUCCCUUGGCAGGCGUGUUGGAGUUCUCCGGGCCAGCAGUGCCAGAAAUGAGGAUUCUCAGGCCUGAGUCUGUGCAUCAUAGGAUAUCAUGCUGCUGCUUUAAGCAACUGAGCUUCUUCAAUUUUUUGAGGAGUCCUUGGCCACUCCAGGCUCUUGCUUCUCCAUGACAAGGGGCAGAGCAGAGAUAGCUUCUGACUUAGAACCUCAGAUGGAUCAGUCAGCCAUGGACUAUUCCCAUCUUUGCUAUGAGAAGUGGCUUUCUGGUGGGGAUUGUGUUGAGGGUUGGGUUGUUCUGAUUACAAGAAGAGCAGAGACUCUGCAGAGGGGUGGAGAAUGUUUUAGCCAAUAUUGUCCAAAUCCAUUCCAUUUCGAGGUAAAUGGGGAAGAAACAAAAAGACCCACAUAGUAAUCUCCACAGAGAACCACACUGAACCUUUGUAGGCAGGUAGGAAGAGAGUUAUCUCCCCUUUCCUUUACUCCUCCCCUCUCCUCUCCACCCUCCCUUUUUCUCUUCCAUUCUCUCCUCUCCUUUUUUUUCUUCUUCACCUCUUCUCUCCUUUCUUUUUUUACUUUCUCUCACAGUUUAUGUUUCUAAGAAGCAAAUGUUAAAAGUAACAGAAAACAGUGAACUAUAAUCCUUGUCAGCUUUGAUUGAAACUAUAUUAGUCAGUUUCCAAGGAGGAACACAGGAAACUCCCUGAGUAUGUAAAAUAGUGGAAGCUUAAUAGAAGGACUUGAUUAUAUGCAUGAUGAGAGAUCUGAGAAAUGAAACAGAAGAUAGAGAGGCAACCCAGAGAUUAGCAACAAAGAAAGCCAUGCCAAGAGAGACUAAGGGAGGGACAUUUUUAUGGGAUCCCAGGGAUUGAGGGUCAUCCAGUGGAAUUUGGAACUGUGGCUUGGCCUUUCCUGCCAUGAAGGCAUGCUGGAGACACAGCCUGAAGAAAACAGAGAGGUAGAAAUAUCGGGCAUUUCCUUUUUUCCUGCUCUCCAAUUUCCCCACAAGUUACCUCUCUUUAGCAAAUGCCAGAGGCCCACUGGGAACUUGGGGAAGGCAGCCUGCAGGAGUCAGCACAUCCUUGUUACAGAGCAAAACAUGGUGCCAGGGAAGAAUAGAUUUGAGAACAAACACACAAAGGAGCAUCCUGCUCUACUUUAUAGGAGGAGGCUUCUAGGUAAUGUGACAGAGGGUGUGUGUGUGUGUGUGCGUGUGUGCACGUGUGUGUGUGUGUGUGUGUGUGUGUUAUGAGUGGUGGUGGUGGUGCGGUGGGAGUUUCUCAAAUUGAGAGAAAUUUAUAACUUUACUGCUAGAAGAGUUUAUGCUGGCUUGAUACUCAACUUUCAGACCAAGAGAUCAUAUUCAAAGUGAAUUCAUUUCACAGACUUCAAUAAACAUUACACUCUGCCACCAGUUCAACUGAGCUUAUCUAAGAUUGUAUUCAAAAUGAGUGAUAGAAGAUAGAAUUUUUUUUCUAAAAUGCGGAAACAGCCAAACAGUUGAAUCAAAUGAUGCUUGGUCUUUACACUGAAAUGGUAAUACUCAUUUCUCUUUAUAGUAAUUGUGCAAGAAUUAAACUUAGAGGAAGCAGAUGUGUUUAAUGUAUUCAUGAUGUUGUCACCAAGGAUAGCAAAUUCAUUUGGAUAAAAUACAAAUUUGCAUAAAGGUUAACAUAAAAAUCAACUAUUUAAGCAUUGAAAAUAUUUAAUUAAUCUUUUUUUCUUUUUUAUUUUUAUGUGUCUCUUGCUUUUUCUGUUUUCAGCCAAGAGAGACAGUACUGAAAUGUCAUUUUAAAAAUGUUGAUUUUGCAGUAUUUCUCUGCCCUUGGGAACAGGAAAUACCUAGAAUUCUGCUAGUAAGAUGGUUCUCAUGAAAUGUCUAGUGUAAUUUUUAUAAUGAGGGGGAUUAAAUAUGUUUGGAUGAAUAUCCAACUUUGAGAACUUUGUCACCCUGAUACUUCAGACCCAUUGACGUUUUCCCAAAAUGUUCCCUCUUCCAUAUGUUAGGGAAUUACAUUUAAGAGCGAGUAAUGAGGAUAAUUGAGUCUGUGCUGGUUUUGGAUUUCAUACUCCUUAUGAAUGUGAAAUAGAUUAAAUAAAGGACACUUGAGAAGUAAUGAAUUCCAAAAAUAAUAUCAAUUGUUGUACCAAAAGCUGAGCAAGUGACUUUUCUACAGCAUUAAAGUGGUGUUGACCUUUUCUCUUCAGAAAGAGAGAAGUUGGGGCUAGGUAGUAAGUAACAGUCAGC